CCAAAAGUUUGAUCCUGGCUCGACGAACGCUGGCGGCAAGCUUAACACAUGCAAGUCGAACGGACCGUACGCGCAGCUUGCUGCGUGUAUGGUUAGUGGCAGACGGGUGAGUAAUGCAUAGGAAUCUGCCUAGUAGUAUAGGAUAGCCACUAGAAAUGGUGGGUAAUACUGUAUAAUCCCUGCGGGGGAAAGAUUUAUCGCUACUAGAUGAGCCUAUGUCAGAUUAGCUAGUUGGUGGGGUAAUGGCCCACCAAGGCUGUGAUCUGUAGCUGGUCUGAGAGGAUGAUCAGCCACACUGGAACUGAGACACGGUCCAGACUCCUACGGGAGGCAGCAGUGGGGAAUAUUGGACAAUGGGCGCAAGCCUGAUCCAGCUAUGCCGCGUGAGUGAGGAAGGCCUUAGGGUUGUAAAACUCUUUCA
This 421-nucleotide ribosomal RNA is filed under the name Anaplasma ovis. Its description in RNAcentral is "bacterial SSU rRNA". It matches the Rfam family "Bacterial small subunit ribosomal RNA", at positions 1 to 438 of the family's 1533-position model. Lineage: Bacteria; Pseudomonadati; Pseudomonadota; Alphaproteobacteria; Rickettsiales; Anaplasmataceae. The record is from RNAcentral.